Molecule: long non-coding RNA, 189 nt
Filed under: Monodelphis domestica (gray short-tailed opossum)
Lineage: Eukaryota; Metazoa; Chordata; Mammalia; Didelphimorphia; Didelphidae
Description: lncRNA (ENSMODG00000043706.1)
Source: RNAcentral
AGGCAUUCCCAGCUCCCACUUCCAUUCCUGGCGUACAGUAGGCGCUAGAUAAAUCCUUCCAGCCUUGUUAACUCAUGUUGGUAGCGGCGAUCCCUUGGCUAACUGAAACUCCGUGCCCUCUUUGACUGGGGGUGAAGCAAAUGGCUUCCGGGAAUUAACUGGAUGCUUUCCAGUUUAUAGUGUUAAGGC